ACGGGUAACGGGGAAUUAGGGUUCGAUUCCGGAGAGGGAGCCUGAGAAACGGCUACCAUAUCUAAGGAAGGCAGCAGGCGCGCAAAUUACCCAAUCCUAAUACAGGGAGGUAGUGACAAGAAAUAACAAUACAGGACUUUUUGGUUUUGUAAUUGGAAUGAGUUAAGUAUAAACCCAUUUACAAGUAUCAAUUGGAGGGCAAGUCUGGUGCCAGCAGCCGCGGUAAUUCCAGCUCCAAUAGCGUAUAUUAAAGUUGUUGCAGUUAAAAAGCUCGUAGUUGGAUUUCUGUUAAUAAUUUAUAUAAAAUAUUUUGAUGAAUAUUUAUAUAAUAUUAACAUAAUUCAUAUUACUAUAUAUUUUAGUAUAUGAAAUUUUACUUUGAGAAAAUUAGAGUGCUUAAAGCAGGCAUAUGCCUUGAAUACUCCAGCAUGGAAUAAUAUUAAAGAUUUUUAUCUUUCUUAUUGGUUCUAAGAUAAGAAUAAUGAUUAAUAGGGACAGUUGGGGGCAUUUGUAUUUAA
This 518-nucleotide ribosomal RNA is filed under the name Cryptosporidium parvum. RNAcentral's name for it is "SSU rRNA". It matches the Rfam family "Eukaryotic small subunit ribosomal RNA", at positions 355 to 901 of the family's 1831-position model. Lineage: Eukaryota; Apicomplexa; Conoidasida; Eucoccidiorida; Cryptosporidiidae. The record is from RNAcentral.